UUGGAGGGCAAGUCUGGUGCCAGCAGCCGCGGUAAUUCCAGCUCCAAUAGCGUAUAUUAAAGUUGUUGCAGUUAAAAAGCUCGUAGUUGAAUUUCGGGGUCAGUAGGUUGGUCGUGCCUAUGGUAUGUACUGGCUUUACUGAUUCCUCCUUCUUGAAGAACUGUAAUGUCAUUAAUUUGGUGUUGCAGGGAAGCAGGACUGUUACUUUGAAAAAAUUAGAGUGUUUAAAGCAGGCUAACGCUUGAAUACAUUAGCAUGGAAUAAUGAAAUAGGACGUUUGAUCCUAUUUUGUUGGUUUCUAGGAUUGACGUAAUGAUUAAUAGGGAUAGUUGGGGGCAUUAGUAUUCAAUUGUCAGAGGUGAAAUUCUUGGAUUUAUUGAAGACUAACUACUGCGAAAGCAUUUGCCAAGGAUGUUUUCAUUAAUCAAGAACGAAAGUUAGGGGAUCGAAGACGAUCAGAUACCGUCGUAGUCUUAACCAUAAACUAUGCCGACUAGGGAUCGGAUGAUGUUAAUUUUUUAAUGACUCAUUCGGCGCCUUACGGGAAAC
RNAcentral lists this ribosomal RNA (549 nucleotides) under uncultured Glomeromycotina. Its description in RNAcentral is "SSU rRNA". It matches the Rfam family "Eukaryotic small subunit ribosomal RNA", at positions 548 to 1098 of the family's 1831-position model. Lineage: Eukaryota; Fungi; Glomeromycota. The record is from RNAcentral.